This is a long non-coding RNA of Solanum tuberosum (potato), 745 nucleotides long. RefSeq lists it as uncharacterized. The record is from RefSeq and is a predicted model, not a curated record. NCBI's taxonomy places the organism in Eukaryota, Viridiplantae, Streptophyta, Magnoliopsida, Solanales, Solanaceae. The transcript is spliced from 3 exons.
CUGGUGGCUACUUCUACACGUCUAUUGUCGCAACACCAUAUAUCUUGAUCAGAAACAGUUUAGCAUAUAUGCUUAUUUCUAAAAUGUUUCUCUUGACUCUUUACAUUUACAAAGGCAAUUAUUGUCUGUUAAUCAUGUCCAUGAGAUGUUGUCAAACAAACUAUUUCAAAUUCAGCUAAGGAAGUCAUCUUGGAGCAGCACAAAUAACACACAUACAACUUUGUCCAUUCUUUCCUACGUGGAAAUGGAACAGACUCUUCCGCCAGCACUUGACAGGAAUUCCAAUAAGAUCAGGCCUUUGGGAGGUUCUUCAAGUGUGAAGCCGAAAUUUGAACCACCCACACCAACAAAGAAGGUGUAAAAGGAAGUCCCUUACUUUCUUUUGUGACUUUUGCUUAAUGAAGAAGAUAAGUUUUUGGAUCCUCAGUCGAUACAAGUUCGCUCAAUAGGGAAAAUGAAAUGAAUUGGUUAUUUAGCUUUUUAGGAUGCCUUCAUUAUUUAGCUUUUCAGGAACCACAACAGCUCCCUAUGCUAUGAUUUUUGAAUGCAGAAGAUUAGCUGCUAAGAAGCGAACUCCAACGUCCUUUACAUAGUCAUCUUAUAUGUCAAAAUUGAAACAUCUGCUAUAUUUUUUGGGUGUAUAACAUUAGUUAGUAUUUGUAGGUCGUUCAAGUAGACACCAUACUGGUGUAUGUUGUACAUAUUCUGAAUAUUUCUAAUAGUAUAUGAUAUUAAUCAUCUUUUC